Molecule: ribosomal RNA, 501 nt
Filed under: uncultured bacterium
Lineage: Bacteria
Description: partial 16S ribosomal RNA
Rfam family: Bacterial small subunit ribosomal RNA
Source: RNAcentral
AUUGAACGCUGGCGGCAGGCUUAACACAUGCAAGUCGAGCGGAGAUGAGGUGCUUGCACCUUAUCUUAGCGGCGGACGGGUGAGUAAUGCUUAGGAAUCUGCCUAUUAGUGGGGGACAACAUUCCGAAAGGAAUGCUAAUACCGCAUACGUCCUACGGGAGAAAGCAGGGGAUCUUCGGACCUCGCGCUAAUAGAUGAGCCUAAGUCGGAUUAGCUGGUUGGUGGGGUAAAGGCCUACCAAGGCGACGAUCUGUAGCGGGUCUGAGAGGAUGAUCCGCCACACUGGGACUGAGACACGGCCCAGACUCCUACGGGAGGCAGCAGUGGGGAAUAUUGGACAAUGGGGGAAACCCUGAUCCAGCCAUGCCGCGUGUGUGAAGAAGGCCUUAUGGUUGUAAAGCACUUUAAGCGAGGAGGAGGCUACUGAGACUAAUACUCUUGGAUAGUGGACGUUACUCGCAGAAUAAGCACCGGCUAACUCUGUGCCAGCCGCCGCCGUAA